ACGCCUGGUCCAGUAGAGCUCACGGUGCUCUGGGAGAUCAAACUCCCCCUUAAGAUCCGCAUAUUCUUAUGGCAAUGGGUUAGAGGACGCCUCCCCUCGGGCACUGAGGUCCGUAAGCGUAAUGGACCCGGGGAUGGGCUUUGCCCCAUUUGUCUGGUUCCGGAAGACUGCAACCACAUCUUCUUCCGGUGCCCAACGACGCAGUUUUUAUGGAGCUGCUUUCGGGAGGUAGUCGAAGGCUCAUGGUGCCAUGACAACCUCCCGGAUUUGUUCGGGGAGACCCUCCGGCUCCCCGGGUCUAGGCGCGCCCCUAUUUGGGUCGCGCUCGGCACUCUUGCCUGGUCCCUUUGGUGUACCCGCAAUAAAUUAGUCAUCGAACGAGUGAUUCCGUCCCGUGUGACUGAUGUGAUCUACAAAAUGUGUUGCUUCUUGCAGCUUUGGAGACCGCUUAGCAAGCGGAGUGACCAAGUCAUCAUUGACAGCAUCAUGGCGGGUCUUCGUGCCUCGGCGGCGUCAUUCGCUCCUCCGCCUCCAUCUCCA
This 540-nucleotide ribosomal RNA is filed under the name Triticum aestivum (bread wheat). Its description in RNAcentral is "partial small subunit ribosomal RNA". The record is from RNAcentral. Lineage: Eukaryota; Viridiplantae; Streptophyta; Magnoliopsida; Poales; Poaceae.